UACGGAGGGGGCUAGCGUUGUUCGGAAUUACUGGGCGUAAAGCGCACGUAGGCGGCUUUGUAAGUUAGAGGUGAAAGCCCGGAGCUCAACUUCGGAAUUGCCUUUAAGACUGCAUCGCUUGAAUCAUGGAGAGGUCAGUGGAAUUCCGAGUGUAGAGGUGAAAUUCGUAGAUAUUCGGAAGAACACCAGUGGCGAAGGCGGCUCACUGGACCGGCAUUGACGCUGAGGCGCGAAAGCGUGGGUAGCAAACAGG
Molecule: ribosomal RNA, 253 nt
Filed under: uncultured bacterium
Lineage: Bacteria
Description: partial 16S ribosomal RNA
Rfam family: Bacterial small subunit ribosomal RNA
Source: RNAcentral